RNAcentral lists this transfer RNA (76 nucleotides) under Candidatus Aquarickettsia rohweri. RNAcentral describes it as "tRNA-Glu". It matches the Rfam family "tRNA". From Rfam's summary of the family: Transfer RNA (tRNA) molecules are approximately 80 nucleotides in length. Their secondary structure includes four short double-helical elements and three loops (D, anti-codon, and T loops). Lineage: Bacteria; Pseudomonadati; Pseudomonadota; Alphaproteobacteria; Rickettsiales; Candidatus Midichloriaceae. The record is from RNAcentral.
GGCCCCUUCGUCUAAUGGUUUAGGACUCCACCCUUUCACGGUGGCAAUACGGGUUCGAAUCCCGUAGGGGUCGCCA